RNAcentral lists this long non-coding RNA (1695 nucleotides) under Phaseolus vulgaris (common bean). RNAcentral describes it as "long non-coding RNA (PVUL_LNC002732)". Lineage: Eukaryota; Viridiplantae; Streptophyta; Magnoliopsida; Fabales; Fabaceae. The record is from RNAcentral.
GGGAGGCGCUUGGAUGUACUUUGCAACUGGAAAUUCGUCAUACCUAAAGCUUGCUACUGCUCCUGGCCUGGCCAAGCAUGCUGGUGCUUUCUGGGGAGGCUCUGAUUAUGGGGUACUCAGCUGGGAUAACAAACUUGCUGGUGCUCAGGUAAUUUUGUAGGGAUUCUGUGUUAUAUGAACUUGCUGGUGCUCAUGAAUAUUAUGCUCUAGUUGUCUUGGUUUGUCAUUUGGAAACUAGAUUAACAUCAAGAAACAGCAGCUAGAAGUAAAAGUCAUGAAGAAUUAGAUAUGUUGAAUUUCUAAGUUUUUUUGUUCACUUUUUCAUUUUUAAAGAAAAGAUUAACAAUAAUUGUCUUAUAGUUGUGGUGUUUAUGAUGGAUCCUGUAUGUGGUUUUCAAUACUUUGUCCUUUAGCAGCAAAAAUGAGUUCUUAAUUAGAUGUCUGGCUAAUCAUUCCUAAUCUUAACUAUAUUUGGUACGAUUGCUACUAAUCUUCGAAUAUUUACCUUUGUAUGUGUCAUGAGUUCUGCCAAAUACUUUUCUUAGUUCAGAUCUUCAUGUUAGCUUUAAUCCUGUCUCAUGUAUGUUGUCUUUCCAUUCUGUCUCAUGUAUGUUGUCUUUCCCUUGCACGUGUGGUCUUUGUAUCAUCCAUUACCUUGCAGACUUUGGCAAUUUUUGUGAAAUUUUAUUUGAUUGAUUUGAUCUUUCGUAAUUAGGUACUUCUGAGUCGUUUGAGGUUGUUCUUGAGUCCUGGCUAUCCAUAUGAGGAAAUUUUGAGGACCUUUCACAAUCAGACAAGCAUAAUCAUGUGCUCUUAUCUACCGGUUUUCACAAGCUUUAAUAGAACCAAAGGUAACAAUUCUUACUUCAAACCUUUCAACCAGGCACAUCAGAACUCAUGACUUAAUGAUUACUAUUCUGUGAUGUAAAUGUUGGCAUUUUGUGCACUCAGGUGGCUUGAUUCAAUUAAACCAUGGUAGGCCUCAGCCUCUGCAAUAUGUUGUCAAUGCCGCCUUUUUGGCUGCCCUAUAUAGUGAUUAUCUUGAUGCUGCUGAUACACCUGGAUGGUAUUGUGGACCUAAUUUCUUUUCAACUGAUGUGCUCCGAAACUUCGCCAAGACCCAGGUAUGUGGUAUUCUUCUCCUUUGAGAUAGUAAUUUAUGGGAUCCAAAUCCCUCAUAUUAUUAAUAUCACUAUGAGGUGCCUGCAUUAAGUUUCUUUUCCUUUGUGGGUGUUUUUUCAGAUUGAUUACAUUCUUGGAAAAAAUCCGAGGAAAAUGAGCUAUAUUGUGGGUUUUGGUAAUCAUUAUCCAAAACAUGUCCACCAUAGAGGUGCAUCUAUUCCAAAGAACAAGGUCAAGUAUAACUGUAAAGGUGGAUGGAAAUGGAGGGAUUCUUCCAAGCCAAACCCAAAUACACUUGUUGGUGCCAUGGUCGCUGGUCCUGACAAGCAUGAUGGCUUCCGUGAUGUUCGGUCAAACUACAAUUACACAGAGCCAACUCUUGCUGGAAAUGCUGGUUUAGUUGCGGCACUGGUGGCAUUAUCAGGCGACAAGAGCACAUCAAUUGACAAAAAUACCAUUUUCUCUGCUGUUCCCCCUAUGUUUCCCACGCCACCACCACCUCCAGCGCCGUGGAAACCAUAAAUGCACCAUGCCAUUGGUUAUUUCUUUCCAGCCAGUACCCCUGAUGAUUUG